RNAcentral lists this small RNA (58 nucleotides) under Flavobacterium sp. 2. Its description in RNAcentral is "Flavo-1 RNA". The record is from RNAcentral. Lineage: Bacteria; Pseudomonadati; Bacteroidota; Flavobacteriia; Flavobacteriales; Flavobacteriaceae.
AUCCAGCCCCGAUAAAGCCGAUAUCCUCGAAGAGAUAAAGGCGAAAGCGGGACUAAAG